Molecule: ribosomal RNA, 497 nt
Filed under: uncultured bacterium
Lineage: Bacteria
Description: partial 16S ribosomal RNA
Rfam family: Bacterial small subunit ribosomal RNA
Source: RNAcentral
GAUGAACGCUGGCGGCGUGCCUAAUACAUGCAAGUCGAGCGAACGGACGAGAAGCUUGCUUUUCUGAUGUUAGCGGCGGACGGGUGAGUAACACGUGGAUAACCUACCUAUAAGACUGGGAUAACUUCGGGAAACCGGAGCUAAUACCGGAUAAUAUUUUGAACCGCAUGGUUCAAAAGUGAAAGACGGUCUUGCUGUCACUUAUAGAUGGAUCCGCGCUGCAUUAGCUAGUUGGUAAGGUAACGGCUUACCAAGGCAACGAUGCAUAGCCGACCUGAGAGGGUGAUCGGCCACACUGGAACGUAGACACGGUCCAGACUCCUACGGGAGGCAGCAGUAGGGAAUGUGCCGCAAUGGGCGAAAGCCUGACGGAGCAACGCCGCGUGAGUGAUGAAGGUCUUCGGAUCGUAAAACUCUGUUAUUAGGGAAGAACAUAUGUGUAAGUAACUGUGCACAUCUUGACGGUACCUAAUCAGAAAGCCACGGCUAACUACGUG